UUUUUCUUGGUGUUUGAGCACACAAAGCUUUGACCUUUGAGGAGGGGGUGAAAUUCAGGCAAUG
RNAcentral lists this transfer RNA (64 nucleotides) under Alpheus lobidens. RNAcentral's name for it is "tRNA-Gln". The record is from RNAcentral. Lineage: Eukaryota; Metazoa; Arthropoda; Malacostraca; Decapoda; Alpheidae.